Sinocyclocheilus grahami is the source of this 245-nucleotide long non-coding RNA. RefSeq lists it as uncharacterized. The transcript is spliced from 3 exons. NCBI's taxonomy places the organism in Eukaryota, Metazoa, Chordata, Actinopteri, Cypriniformes, Cyprinidae. The record is from RefSeq and is a predicted model, not a curated record.
CCAUUAUACAAUCACUCUGCUGGUGUUUUUACCUCAGUUUCUCGUAAUAGCAGCUCUGUGGAUGUGGUUUUUCAUCAAAAUGCGUCUCAUUUCAAAACCAAACCGAAAACAAAAAAUCUGAUGCUCCACAUCUGUACAUCUGUACAUCUGUACAUCUGCUGUCUGUCCAUCAGAGCCGCUGGAGUGAUGUCAUUGUGUUCUUCCAUUGUGACAUCAUCACCUAGCAACAGUCAGAACUGUCAGCA